RNAcentral lists this ribosomal RNA (243 nucleotides) under uncultured bacterium. Its description in RNAcentral is "partial 16S ribosomal RNA". It matches the Rfam family "Bacterial small subunit ribosomal RNA", at positions 524 to 761 of the family's 1533-position model. The record is from RNAcentral.
UACGUAGGUGGCAAACGUUGUUCGGAAUUACUGGGCAUAAAGAGUUUGUAGGCGGCUUAAUAAGUCAGGUGUGAAAUCCCGGGGCGUCAACUUACGGUAACGGCAUUUGUAUACUGUUAGGUCUAGAAUAACGGAGAGGUGAGUAGAAUUCAUGGUGUAGCGGUGAAAUGCGUUGAUAUCAUGGAGAAUACCAAUGGCGAAGGCAGCUCGCUGGCCGAUUAUUGACGCUGAGAAACGAAAGCU